RNAcentral lists this ribosomal RNA (450 nucleotides) under uncultured bacterium. Its description in RNAcentral is "partial 16S ribosomal RNA". It matches the Rfam family "Bacterial small subunit ribosomal RNA", at positions 354 to 796 of the family's 1533-position model. The record is from RNAcentral.
GUGGGGAAUAUUGGACAAUGGGCGAAAGCCUGAUCCAGCCAUGGCGCGUGUGUGAAGAAGGUCUUCGGAUUGUAAAGCACUUUAAGUUGGGAGGAAGGGUAGUAACCUAAUACGUUGCUACUUUGACGUUACCGACAGAAUAAGCACCGGCUAACUUCGUGCCAGCAGCCGCGGUAAUACGAAGGGUGCAAGCGUUAAUCGGAAUUACUGGGUGUAAAGCGCGCGUAGGUGGUUCAGUAAGUUGGAAGUGAAAUCCCCGGGCUCAACCUGGGAACUGCUUUCAAAACUGCUGAGCUAGAGUACGGUAGAGGGUGGUGGAAUUUCCUGUGUAGCGGUGAAAUGCGUAGAUAUAGGAAGGAACACCAGUGGCGAAGGCGACCACCUGGACUGAUACUGACACUGAGGUGCGAAAGCGUGGGGAGCAAACAGGAUUAGAAACCCUGGUAGUCC